Molecule: ribosomal RNA, 271 nt
Filed under: uncultured archaeon
Lineage: Archaea
Description: partial 16S ribosomal RNA
Rfam family: Archaeal small subunit ribosomal RNA
Source: RNAcentral
CAGCGCCACAAGUGGCAAUCACGUUUAUUGGGCCUAAAGCGUCCGUAGCCGGUUUAGCAAAUCUUUUGUGAAAUCGUCAGGCUUAACUUGACGAAUUGCAGAAGACACUACUAAACUAGGGACUGGGAGGAGUCAGAAGUAUUCUGGAGGGACCGGUAAAAUGGUAUAAUCCCCAGAGGACUACCGAUGGCGAAGGCAUCUGACCAGAACAGAUCCGACGGUGAGGGACGAAAGCCAGGGGAGCAAACCGGAUUAGAGACCCGAGUAGUCC